UCCUACGGGAGGCAGCAGUGGGGAAUUUUGCGCAAUGGGGGAAACCCUGACGCAGCAACGCCGCGUGAGUGAUGAAGGCCUUCGGGUCGUAAAGCUCUGUCAGAGGGGAAGAAAUGAAAUUGGCUAAUAUCCAAUUUUCUUGACGGUACCCUCAAAGGAAGCACCGGCUAACUCCGUGCCAGCAGCCGCGGUAAUACGGAGGGUGCAAGCGUUGUUCGGAUUUAUUGGGCGUAAAGCGCGUGUAGGCGGUCUCUUAAGUCUGAUGUGAAAGCCCUGGGCUCAACCCAGGAAGUGCAUUGGAUACUGGGAGACUUGAAUACGGGAGAGGGUAGUGGAAUUCCUAGUGUAGGAGUGAAAUCCGUAGAUAUUAGGAGGAACACCGGUGGCGAAGGCGGCUACCUGGACCGAUAUUGACGCUGAGACGCGAAAGCGUGGGGAGCAAACAGGAUUAGAAACCCUAGUAGUCCA
RNAcentral lists this ribosomal RNA (468 nucleotides) under uncultured bacterium. Its description in RNAcentral is "bacterial SSU rRNA". It matches the Rfam family "Bacterial small subunit ribosomal RNA", at positions 337 to 797 of the family's 1533-position model. The record is from RNAcentral.